GCAACAUCAGGUAAAAGAAAAGGAUAAAGAAAAUCUGGGGCGCGAGCAUGCCAUACCAUUGCUUCAUUCAUGAAAACCGCCUCUUAGCCAGGUGAUUGGCUGCCAUGUUAGAUUCCCUAAAAACAUGAAGGAUUUUCCUCUAAUGACCUGCGUAGGCUUACAGAGCUGACUCAAGGGUUUAACAAAAAGUUUGAGUCACUCUUAAUGAUUAGGGGUAUGCAAUGAAUAUGCCCAAAUCCUAUGCCUGGAUUUUAGCAGCAUUAUUGGAGUUGUUACCUAGGGGGCUGCAAAGGCUUAUUAUAAAACCACUUUGUCUCAUUUCUGAAAUUCCUCCACCACUAGCCGCACCAGGAUUUCACAAGGAUGAACCAUAUAUGUUGAGCUUGAAAUGACUGGAGGAGGGAAUGGCAAUGCCAGCUGAAUAAAGCAAAGGGA
RNAcentral lists this long non-coding RNA (435 nucleotides) under Amborella trichopoda. RNAcentral describes it as "long non-coding RNA (ATRI_LNC002450)". Lineage: Eukaryota; Viridiplantae; Streptophyta; Magnoliopsida; Amborellales; Amborellaceae. The record is from RNAcentral.